GCCGGGGUGGCGGAAUUGGUAGACGCAGCGGACUUAAAAUCCGCCUCCGUUCACGGAGUACCGGUUCAAGUCCGGUCCUCGGCA
Molecule: transfer RNA, 84 nt
Filed under: Candidatus Peribacteria bacterium
Lineage: Bacteria; Candidatus Peregrinibacteriota; Candidatus Peribacteria
Description: tRNA-Leu
Rfam family: tRNA
About the family: Transfer RNA (tRNA) molecules are approximately 80 nucleotides in length. Their secondary structure includes four short double-helical elements and three loops (D, anti-codon, and T loops).
Source: RNAcentral